GGCCACAGCCAUAUCAUCCUGCAGCCCAAGACUGGUUGCCCACUGAAGCUAAGCAGGGUUGAGCCUGGUCAGUACCUGGAUGGGAGAUCUCCUGGGAAAACUAGGUUGCUGUUGGAA
Molecule: ribosomal RNA, 117 nt
Filed under: Sinocyclocheilus grahami
Lineage: Eukaryota; Metazoa; Chordata; Actinopteri; Cypriniformes; Cyprinidae
Source: RNAcentral